CUGUCCGACUACCGAUCGAUUAGCCUGAUUCAUCUGGUUGCCAAGCUCGUAGCAAAAGUUCUCGCCCUGAGGCUCGCCCCGCGGCUUGGGGAGCUUGUCUCGGUCAACCAGAGUGCUUUCAUCGCUGGGCGCCGCAUCCAUGACAAUUUUAUGCUGGUUCAGCACACAACGAGCCACCUUCACCAGGCCGGUGCCCACCGGGUCCUCCUCAAGCUCGAUAUCUCUAGGGCGUUUGACUCCGUCUCCUGGCCCUUCUUGCUUGAGAUCCUUCGUGCGGCUUCGGCCGAAGAUGGUGCGAGUGGGUGA
RNAcentral lists this ribosomal RNA (306 nucleotides) under Triticum aestivum (bread wheat). RNAcentral describes it as "partial small subunit ribosomal RNA". Lineage: Eukaryota; Viridiplantae; Streptophyta; Magnoliopsida; Poales; Poaceae. The record is from RNAcentral.